AUUGAACGCUGGCGGCAGGCUUAACACAUGCAAGUCGAGCGCAGGAAGCCAUCUGAACCCUUCGGGGGGACGACGGUGGAAUGAGCGGCGGACGGGUGAGUAACACGUAAAGAACCUGCCCAUAGGUCUGGGAUAACCACGAGAAAUCGGGGCUAAUACCGGAUGUGUCAUCGGACCGCAUGGUCCGCUGAUGAAAGGCGCUCCGGCGUCGCCCAUGGAUGGCUUUGCGGUGCAUUAGCUAGUUGGUGGGGUAACGGCCCACCAAGGCGACGAUGCAUAGCCGACCUGAGAGGGUGAUCGGCCACACUGGGACUGAGACACGGCCCAGAAUCCUACGGGAGGCAGCAGUAGGGAAUCUUCCACAAUGGACGAAAGUCUGAUGGAGCAACGCCGCGUGAACGAUGAAGGCUUUCGGGUCGUAAAGUUCUGUUGUAAGGGAGGAACAAGUGCCGCAGGCAAUGGCGGCACCUUGACGGUACCUUGCGAGAAAGCCACGGCUAACUACGUGCCAGCCGCCGCCGUAA
This 524-nucleotide ribosomal RNA is filed under the name uncultured bacterium. RNAcentral describes it as "partial 16S ribosomal RNA". It matches the Rfam family "Bacterial small subunit ribosomal RNA", at positions 29 to 523 of the family's 1533-position model. The record is from RNAcentral.